RNAcentral lists this long non-coding RNA (787 nucleotides) under Pan troglodytes (chimpanzee). Its description in RNAcentral is "long non-coding RNA NONPTRT015322". The record is from RNAcentral. Lineage: Eukaryota; Metazoa; Chordata; Mammalia; Primates; Hominidae.
UGUGAAUCAGUUCACACGAUCAGUGUGAAAAGCGGGUAUGAAGACCCAGAUGCUGGUGUGUACGUGUGCAUAUAAGCCCCAACAGAUUCUGCCAGAAACGGAGUAGAAAAACUGUGGCUCACCCGGGACCCAGUCUUUCCCCAGGUUCCCCACAGAUGCGCUCUGAAUCUGUUAUAAUUGACUCACCACGACCUGCAUGCACACAUGGAAUUCCUCAUGGCAUCCUUAGAUCUUUUUUGCCACAUCCUUUUGCUCUGACUCGAAGAGGAAGCCAACCAUCUCUUCACUGGCCUGUGCCACAGAUGCCUUCCAUGUCAAUACCAUCUGUGAUCCCGACGGAAAUGAUAGUUAAAAUUUGUUGCAUCUGUUAUUGAGCCUAUCUUUGUAGUAGGAGUAAUGAAAUUUGGCUUCCAAACUAAUUCAUCUUUAUGCAGAUAGCCCAAACUAACCUGCAAUUAAAACACUGAAAGUAGUCACAACUGGGAGAUACAAAAUAAAUGUGGGAAAAAGUUCUUUUUCAAUAAAGAAGCAUGAUUAGUUUGAGAAACAUCAACUCCGAGGACUAUAAUCUAAGCUGGUAGAAAUUAAAAUUAUGGGAAAAUAGAAUUUUGCCGAUAGACUUGAAACUGUGAAAAUAAGUAGAGUGUUUGAUAACCUGAAAUAAACUCUUUCUAAAGCACUAUUUUUAUAGUGGAACCAGGGGUAGCUACUAUUUUGUUAUUAUUUUAAUUGUUUGUGAACAUAUGGGAUAAAGAAAAGGAACAUGAAUGUGAUUGCAGCUACAGUA